RNA transcript from Pristis pectinata (smalltooth sawfish), 3194 nucleotides. It is a transcript of the gene named leucine rich repeat transmembrane neuronal 1, with no coding region annotated. The transcript is spliced from 3 exons. Lineage: Eukaryota; Metazoa; Chordata; Chondrichthyes; Rhinopristiformes; Pristidae. The record is from RefSeq and is a predicted model, not a curated record.
GCUUACGACACUCUGUCAACACUCAGCACGUCUGGCUGCUCUCGCAGUGCAGUACUCUGUUAAAGGGAGACGAGCCUUGCUCCGCGAUCCAUCUUGCUCUGAGCAUUACCUCGCAAGCAAAGUGUACCGGCGGCGGCGGCGGCAGCAGGUGCUGCCGCUCCGUGCCUGGACAAGCGGACGCAGUCAUUGCUGGCUGUCUGCGUUGAUUAAAGGUCACACUGGUCAGUGGUCAUUUCAAAUCAUGGGAUGGUAAUUGAGACUGACGGAUCCGGAUGAAUUGUUAACGGGAGAGCGGAAAAAAAGGAAAGAGUUUUGGGCAACGGCAUCACAUGCGGCCGGGAGGGAGGUGGAGAGUCGGUAACAGGCGGCAGCUGUAUAAAAAGCCCGGAAACUUAAACAUUGCACAAGUCGGCUGGAGCUCCGAGUUGGGGAGAUCUCGUCUGCUCCGGCUCUUUCGCGGCGAGACACAGACCGAGGUAUUGUGAGCCAGUGAGAGAGAGAAAGCACUGGAUUCGCCCGCACUAGGGAUCUUUUUUUGUUACACAGCCUACAACAUAACUAGUGUGGACAAAAAAAAAGCAAAGUGGCUGAAUGGAGCCUGUCACUGUGUGGAAAAGGAUGGGAGAUCUCCCUGUUCGUGUCAGGAAAAAAAAUCAACCCAAGACAUUUGGUCCCUCGGCUGCCAAUGAUGUAAAAACUUUGGCGAUUCGGAAGACAUCGUCCGCUUAAACGAGACACAGGAAAGCCCGGCGAGUGAUUGGAGGUGCAAUCCUUGCUCCAUGGAUUUCCUUCUUGUGGGUCUCAGUCUGCACUGGCUCCUGAAAAAGCCUUCGGCGUCGUUUGUGUGUGUGCUCGGCGCGUUGUUGGAAAUGUUGCCCGCCGCUGACAGCCUGUGCGCCCAGCAGUGCCGCUGCGACGGGAAGCUGGCGUACUGCGAGUCGCAGAGCCUGAGCGAGAUGCCGCGCAACCUGUCGGGGGUGCAGGGUCUGUCGCUCCGCUACAACAGCCUGUCCGAGCUGCACGACGACCAAUUCGCCGGCUUGCUGCAGCUCACUUGGCUCUACCUCGACCACAACCACAUCUACUCGGUGGACCCGAAUGCCUUUCGAGGGCUGCGCCGGCUCAAAGAGCUGGUGCUCAGCUCCAACAAGAUCACCCAGCUGCCCAACGCCACGUUCAGGCCCAUGCCGAACCUGCGGCAUGUGCAGCUGUCCUACAACAACCUGCAGGCACUGGAACCCGACCUCUUCCACGGACUGCGCAAGCUGCAGACGCUGCACUUGAGGUCGAAUGCACUGAAGUUUAUACCGGUCAGGAUCUUCCAGGACUGCCGCAGCCUGGAGUUUCUGGACGUCGGAUAUAAUCAGCUGCAGAGCCUGGCGCGGAACGCGUUCGCAGGCUUGUUGAAACUGACUGAACUCCACCUGGAGCACAACGACUUGGUGAAAGUAAACUUUGCUCACUUCCCACGGCUGCUCUCUCUGAGAACCCUGUACAUGCAGUGGAACAAAGUUAGCAUUGUGGUGAAUUCCUUAGACUGGACUUGGAACCAUCUAGAAAAACUAGACCUCUCUGGAAAUGAGAUUGAACUCAUUGAAUCUUAUGCCUUUGAAGUUGUGCCUAACCUCAAAAUACUUCAGUUGGAUUCAAACCGUCUCACCACCAUCGAGCAGCCAAUUCUGGACUCUUGGAAAUCUCUAACUAGCAUCAGCCUUUCCGGGAACAGCUGGGAGUGCAAUCGGAAUAUAUGUGCUUUGGCCACCUGGCUGAGCAGUUUUAAGGGACAUCACGAAGGCAGCCUGUUGUGUGCCAGCCCCGUCCACACCCAGGGCGAGGAGGUACUAGACGCCGUGCAUGGUUUUCACAUAUGUGACGACCCGGUCACAAGCACGGCGACAGUGUCAGGCAUGACCAGCGUGGCGGAGACAGACCAAGAUAUGACGGCAAUCAGAGAUGCUUCCAGCAUGUAUGCCACGCAGGAUACAACGGGAGUAAGAACCACUGAAUUGAUCAGUGUCACAGGCGUGCUUUCUCACGAUCAACAGGAAAAUACUAUUCAUGUUCACAAAGUAAUCACGGGCACCAUGGCCCUGCUCUUCUCCUUUCUGAUAGUGGUGCUGGUGCUCUACGUUUCGUGGAAGUGCUUUCCUGCUGGCCUGAGGCACUUGAGGCAGUGCUUUGUGACACAGCGCCGCAAGCAGAAACAGCAACAAACUAUGCAUCAGAUGGCUGCCAUGUCCACCCAGGAAUACUACGUGGACUACAAGCCCAAUCACAUUGAGGGGGCUCUGGUGAUCAUCAAUGAUUACGGAUCGUGUUCUUGUCAUCAACAGCCGGCCAGGGAAUGUGAAGUGUGAUUUUCCCUUCCUCCCCCCCACCACACUACCACCACCCCCCACCUCCUCAACCCCCACCAAAAACUGGAAGUACAACACACUGCUUGGGGACAUUCUGCAGCCCAGUGACUGCACGUAUUACAAUACUGAGUGUGAAUGAAUUACACUGUACUGAUUCCAAGAAACCCUGCACCGGUCUCUUUCAGAAUUCCAAACAAUAUUUAAGCUUCAACGCGUCUUUAAAACCUUUGAAACAUCCUCUGUUCAACUGUCAUUUGAAAUUUGUAAAGGAUUAAAAAAUGUAUAUGUAACUUCCCACCAGUCUCUUAUGAUAUUAAGUCCGCCUGUAAGAUCUGGGAAUAAGAGGGAGUACACGGCUCGUCAAUGAUGCGUUGUUCGACCCGCUGAGGUCCCCCAGCAGUUUUUCUUUGCUCCAGAUGACGGCAUCUGCGGUCUCUUGUGCCUCCGUACUACAAGUGUUCUUCGUCCUCCUGGUUAAAGGAGUCAAUGGGGAAUAAACUCGGAAACUAUUCCUGAUCCCAGCAAACUUUACUGAAAUAAUGAUGUGUGUGUCUGUGGUUUAUUCACCCCAAUGUUGAAUGACUCAAGAUUUGCAACUCUAACGGGAACUCUGGCUUCUUGAGAAUGGUACCACAGAGUCUUACAUUGUCGAGGCCAUUGGAAUAAAAGGCCAAAACAGUUUUUCUUCUGCCUGCUUGCUAACCUCACUUCCUUGCUCAAUGCAAGGCCUAUCACCGACCACACUUUACUGCAGCAGUGAUUAAUCAUGUUUUACAUCGAUUGAUUUUAAUAGAGAACAUCAAUUCGGAUAUUCAGCACGCGUUCAGGAAUUGUCAA